Molecule: ribosomal RNA, 397 nt
Filed under: uncultured bacterium
Lineage: Bacteria
Description: bacterial SSU rRNA
Rfam family: Bacterial small subunit ribosomal RNA
Source: RNAcentral
AUUGAACGCUGGCGGCAUGCCUUACACAUGCAAGUCGAACGGCAGCACGGGAGCUUGCUCCUGGUGGCGAGUGGCGAACGGGUGAGUAAUACAUCGGAACGUACCCUGAAGUGGGGGAUAACGUAGCGAAAGUUACGCUAAUACCGCAUAUUCUGUGAGCAGGAAAGAGGGGGAUCGCAAGACCUCUUGCUUUAGGAGCGGCCGAUGUCGGAUUAGCUAGUUGGUGAGGUAAAGGCUCACCAAGGCGACGAUCCGUAGCGGGUCUGAGAGGAUGAUCCGCCACACUGGGACUGAGACACGGCCCAGACUCCUACGGAGGCAGCAGUGGGGAAUUUUGGACAAUGGGCGCAAGCCUGAUCCAGCCAUGCCGCGUGAGUGAAGAAGGCCUCGGUGUAAG